UACGAAGGGGGCUAGCGUUGCUCGGAAUCACUGGGCGUAAAGCGCACGUAGGCGGACUCUUAAGUCGGUGGUGAAAUCCUGGAGCUCAACUCCAGAACUGCCUUUGAUACUGGGUAUCUUGAGUAUGGAAGAGGUAAGUGGAAUUGCGAGUGUAGAGGUGAAAUUCGUAGAUAUUCGCAGGAACACCAGUGGCGAAGGCGGCUUACUGGCCCAUAACUGACGCUGAGGUGCGAAAGCG
Molecule: ribosomal RNA, 238 nt
Filed under: uncultured bacterium
Lineage: Bacteria
Description: partial 16S ribosomal RNA
Rfam family: Bacterial small subunit ribosomal RNA
Source: RNAcentral